UCUAUUAGGUGUCUUCUAUGAUUUUCUUGUAAUUUUAUUUCUAUACCUUAAUUAAUGUGUGCUGGUUUCAAUAAUUCUCUCUCAAAAAAAGAUCUUACUUUCUUAAUAUAAUUAUUGCCAUCAAUCCUAAGAUGUUGAUGUAGACCGCCUCAAUUGGUUUGUGAGGCGAUGAACAAAGGAUGAGAGCUUGUUGGGAUUGACUCUGAUCGGACCCUCCAAUUCUUAAAUUAUGAAUAUGAUAGUUGAUGUUAGACUAAGAUACUAAUUUCUCACAGGUUGUGUUGUUAGAAAAUUUGGAUUUUAUGUGGUUAACAUAACUUGAUUGAUUUU
RNAcentral lists this long non-coding RNA (330 nucleotides) under Elaeis guineensis (African oil palm). RNAcentral's name for it is "long non-coding RNA (EGUI_LNC026482)". Lineage: Eukaryota; Viridiplantae; Streptophyta; Magnoliopsida; Arecales; Arecaceae. The record is from RNAcentral.